GAGCCUCCUGCUCUGGUGCUGGGGAGUUGCUGGGUGUGCUGGUCCCGUGGUGCACUCUGAGGGUGCCUUCCAGCGGGGUUUGCUAUGGUUUGACUCUUCCUCAGGUACUAAUUCCAUGCAACGACGAUUCGCCUGGCUGAGGGGCAGACUGAGACCCGCGAGGGAGCUGGCCGGUGUCACAGGAGCUUAAACAUCAGAGAAAGUGUCCGGGAAAGGCCUUGUGCGGACCUUGCUGAAGGAAGAAGGCUGGUGUUGGGCACCACUCCUGCCCCCAGGUGAAACUACCCAUGUGCUUAGUGCCUCCUGACAGGAAUUUCGUGGCUACUGAGAACACAUGUACCUACCUUUUUGACAUCUGCUUCCUCGGAGGCUCUGAAGAGCUGCUUUUACCAUUUGAAACCCUAUCCAUUCGCGCUCAUGGCAACUGGCCUCCAACACAGGCACAAAAAGGAGUCUACCUUUGCAACUUCCUACGUCAGAAGUGACUUAACAUCCACCGAAGUAUUUCACCAGCUUGGCUGGAAGGUCAUUUACCUUUCACUUGGUGUCAUUUUGGCUGCGAAUGUCUCCCGGGCCCACCCCGAUCUCCAGUCUGCAGAACAGAAUCCCUUUGUGUCUCGCGGUGCCUCGCCCCCGGGUUGGACUGAUCGUGGGACAUGAGCCCAGCGCCUCUCUGGGCUGCUCUUCCGCUUGUCAGUCAACCUGACCUGGCGGGACAGCACGGGCAGAGCGGUGACAAAGGAAGGAAGCGUCUGAGACGAGGCGAAACUCCCGGACAAAGGCCAGAGAGCGCUUUUAUCAGCGGCCCCGUCGCCAGCCCGCUGAGCCCCGCAUCCUGCCUUCCGUCCCAGUUCAAGCCGACACGCACACGCUGGAUGUUCUCCCACCCAACUGGAGUUCAGGAAGGUCCCCGGCGCUCCGUUACUGGCUGCUUUGUGUAACAGCUAAUUCCAGCAGCCAAUCGGGCGGUGCUAAGUACUUUUAGUAUCUCCUGAAGCUUUGGCUGUACGCCAAUGGCUGCUAAAAAUGACAAACACACCCAUGGUUCCACUUCCCCGAAGCCCUGAGAAGAAUCGGGAUUGGAUUUCAGUUUUUGUGAUACCCACAGAGCAACCCAAAGUCUUUGGGGAACAAUGAAAGCUGCUCAAAACAGAGCUCAUGGUGACAUUACAAAAGGAAAAAGGGCGGGGGAGGGGGGGCGCCAUCAGGACAGGGUCGCCCUGACUCCCUUCCGAACCGCGUCCAGGCCGGCUCUCCUCGCCGCUUGCCCUCAGCCCUGCUUGGCCUCGGAUGCCGGGUCUGCCCGCAACAGCUGACUGCAGUUUAGGCUAAACUCUGCCUGUCUGAGCCCCUUCCAAGUCGGUCAAGUUAAAGAAAAUAGGAACGAGGUCUUCACAGCCAAGAGCGUCCACUUGCCCAGUACCCUGGACGUCUACAUGCCGUGUGUGGGCCAGGGGCCGCCUGGCGCAGCCCAGGAUGGUGACAGGCUGGAGAGGCGGUUCUCAUGCUCUGCUGUGCCCCCACCUCCCGGAGGGCUGGAUUUCGGGGCUUGGAACCUGCAUCCACCCAGCGGCCAUCUCUCCUCUGCUUCCGCGGUCAGCUCCAACCAAGAAGGGCAUCGAGCUGCAGGGUGGCACGGUCAGCUCUGGAGCGGAGUGGAGCAAAGCACCACAGACCGAAACCAGAGGCAGGGAGGUAGAGUGCCAAUUUCUGUCAGCCAGCCAGAUUUCCUGGGGGAUCCACCUUGCAGUGACUUCAUCACAACCACACAAAGGAACAGAUGUGCAGGUUAACUGAAAUGCGUGCUUUAGGCCAGAGGACUGCGGCAGCUCUGCCAGCCAGGCUCCCACUAAAACUUUCCCUGCGCAGAUGCAUCCCCUGGGGAGCUUGUUCAAUGGCUCUUGGCUCAUUAGGCCUGGGAAGCCUGAGACUCUGCAUUUCUAACCAGCUCCAAUAUCAGGCUGUUGCUAUUGGUCCCAGAACCCCACUUUGGAUGUCAGGGCUUAGGGUUAGGGUGCUGCCUAUAGCUGGCUCCUGAGCCGUCUGCUGGGUGAGCGCCCCAGGAUGGUGGUGGUGACAGUGGAGAGCAGUGUGUGCAGGAGUGUAAGGGGAGCAGGAAAAGGAAAACAUUGAGAGAAAAGAGUCAGAUGAAUGCUGAUUUGAGCUACCAGAGAAGGCAGAAUGGUAACAAGAGGAUUGAGAAACUGGGUCAUCUGAAAAAAGAACACCCCAAACGCCCCUUUUGUUGCAGUUCGCCAACAGGAACACCAGGCAGGCUAUGUGUGCACGCCUAGUUUCUGGUAGUCAUGUUAAAAAUAUUAAAAGAAACGAAUGAAAUGAAUUUUAAUACAGUUUAUUUAACCCAAUAUAUAUAGAAAUAUCGCACCAUGUAACCAUAUAAAAAGUGAGACAUUUUGUUCUUUUUUUUUACACGAAGUCUUUGAAAUCUGGGGUCUAGUCACACAGCAUAUGCCACAUGAACUAGCCACAUGCGCCAGGUAGAUGUGGCUCCAGAAUCUUCCUACUCAAAGUGUGGUCCACAGAGCAGCAGCGACAGCACCUGGGAGCUUGCUAGGAGCGAAGAAUGUUAAUUUGGACCUACUAAAUGAGACCCUCCAUGUUAGUAAACUCU
Molecule: long non-coding RNA, 2632 nt
Organism: Talpa occidentalis (Iberian mole)
Lineage: Eukaryota; Metazoa; Chordata; Mammalia; Eulipotyphla; Talpidae
Exons: 4
Source: RefSeq, a predicted model, not a curated record